ACUCAAAUGAAUUGACGGGGGCCCGCACAAGCGGUGGAUCAUGUGGUUUAAUUCGAAGCAACGCGAAGAACCUUACCUGGAUUUGACAUCUCCUGACAACCGUAGAGAUACGGCUUCUGUAGCAAUACAGCAGGAUGACAGGUGCUGCAUGGCUGUCGUCAGCUCGUGUGGUGACAUGUUGGGUUAAGUCCCGCAACGAGCGCAACCCUUGUCUUUAGUUGCCAGCAUUAAGUUGGGCUCUCUAAAGAGACUGCCGUGGUUAACACGGAGGAAGGUGGGGAUGACGUCAAGUCCUCAUGGCCUUUAUAUCCAGGGCGACACACGUGAUACAAUGGACGGUACAGAGGGACGCCAAGAGGCAACUCGGAGCUAAUCUCAAAAAGCCGUUCUCAGUUCGGAUUGGAGUCUGCAACUCGACUCCAUGAAGUUGGAAUCGCUAGUAAUCGCGGAUCAGCACGCCGCGGUGAAUACGUUCCCGGGCCUUGUACACACCGCCCGU
Molecule: ribosomal RNA, 499 nt
Filed under: uncultured bacterium
Lineage: Bacteria
Description: partial 16S ribosomal RNA
Rfam family: Bacterial small subunit ribosomal RNA
Source: RNAcentral